UAUAGAUAUAUAAACUGGAUAAAAGUGAAUUCGAGCGAACAAAACCUCAUUCCGCACACAAUCGCCUAUUAUCUCAACAAUAUGAACACCUUUGCAAUGAUCAUCGCUAGCGCAGCCACCCUUCUUUUCUUUAUGGCCACUCAGGCCAAUGCCUGCAUCGUGCCGAUCAAUCCGGAGAAGGCUAUGGAGUUCGUGGGGAAAAUGGUGGAGAAGGGGCAACAAGUAAUUACGAACCAAUAAUUAUUUUAUAUCUAGUACAAUUAACAAUCCGGAGGCAAUGUUGGCAUAUAAUAGCAGUGAAAGUCGCAAUGUAAAUUGAUAAUAAACAUUUAAUUGUA
This is a long non-coding RNA of Colias croceus (clouded yellow), 338 nucleotides long. RefSeq lists it as uncharacterized. The transcript is spliced from 3 exons. The record is from RefSeq and is a predicted model, not a curated record. NCBI's taxonomy places the organism in Eukaryota, Metazoa, Arthropoda, Insecta, Lepidoptera, Pieridae.